GAUGAACGCUGGCGGCGUGCCUAAUACAUGCAAGUCGAGCGAACGGACGAGAGGCUUGCUUCUCUGAUGUUAGCGGCGGACGGGUGAGUAACACGUGGAUAACCUACCUAUAAGACUGGGAUAACUUCGGGAAACCGGAGCUAAUACCGGAUAAUAUUUUGAAACGCAUGGUUCAAAAGUGAAAGACGGUCUUGCUGUCACUUAUAGAUGGAUCCGCGCUGCAUUAGCUAGUUGGUAAGGUAACGGCUUACCAAGGCAACGAUGCAUAGCCGACCUGAGAGGGUGAUCGGCCACACUGGAACUGAGACACGGUCCAGACUCCUACGGGAGGCAGCAGUAGGGAAUCUUCCGCAAUGGGCGAAAGCCUGACGGAGCAACGCCGCGUGAGUGAUGAAGGUCUUCGGAUCGUAAAACUCUGUUAUUAGGGAAGAACAUAUGUGUAAGUAACUGUGCACAUCUUGACGGUACCUAAUCAGAAAGCCACGGCUAACUACGUG
This 497-nucleotide ribosomal RNA is filed under the name uncultured bacterium. RNAcentral's name for it is "partial 16S ribosomal RNA". It matches the Rfam family "Bacterial small subunit ribosomal RNA", at positions 28 to 507 of the family's 1533-position model. The record is from RNAcentral.